RNAcentral lists this ribosomal RNA (363 nucleotides) under Chalcophorella stigmatica. Its description in RNAcentral is "partial 16S ribosomal RNA". The stretch from base 227 to 363 matches the Rfam family "Bacterial large subunit ribosomal RNA", at positions 2473 to 2610 of the family's 2925-position model. The record is from RNAcentral. Lineage: Eukaryota; Metazoa; Arthropoda; Insecta; Coleoptera; Buprestidae.
GAAUUUUAUUUUUAAGUAAAAAAGCUUAAAUGCUUCUUAAAGACGAGAAGACCCUAUAGAGUUUAAUAUAUAUAUUUUGUUAUUAAUUUUUGGUAUUUAUUAUUUUGACUUAAUAAUGUAUUUUGUUGGGGUGAUUAAAGAAUUGAUUUAACUUCUUUUUAAUGCGGAUAUUAGUUGAUAGAUUUUUGAUCCACUAUUAGUGAUUAUAAGAUCAAAUUACCUUAGGGAUAACAGCGUAAUUUUUUUUGAGAGUUCUUAUCGAAAAAGAAUUUUGCGACCUCGAUGUUGGAUUAAAGCUUAUUGUUGGUGUAGUCGCUAAUAAUUUUGGUCUGUUCGACCAUUGGAGCUUUACAUGAUCUGAGU